RNAcentral lists this ribosomal RNA (464 nucleotides) under uncultured Klebsiella sp. RNAcentral's name for it is "bacterial SSU rRNA". It matches the Rfam family "Bacterial small subunit ribosomal RNA", at positions 338 to 795 of the family's 1533-position model. The record is from RNAcentral. Lineage: Bacteria; Pseudomonadati; Pseudomonadota; Gammaproteobacteria; Enterobacterales; Enterobacteriaceae.
CCUACGGGAGGCUGCAGUGGGGAAUAUUGCACAAUGGGCGCAAGCCUGAUGCAGCCAUGCCGCGUGUGUGAAGAAGGCCUUCGGGUUGUAAAGCACUUUCAGCGGGGAGGAAGGCGGUGAGGUUAAUAACCUCAUCGAUUGACGUUACCCGCAGAAGAAGCACCGGCUAACUCCGUGCCAGCAGCCGCGGUAAUACGGAGGGUGCAAGCGUUAAUCGGAAUUACUGGGCGUAAAGCGCACGCAGGCGGUCUGUCAAGUCGGAUGUGAAAUCCCCGGGCUCAACCUGGGAACUGCAUUCGAAACUGGCAGGCUAGAGUCUUGUAGAGGGGGGUAGAAUUCCAGGUGUAGCGGUGAAAUGCGUAGAGAUCUGGAGGAAUACCGGUGGCGAAGGCGGCCCCCUGGACAAAGACUGACGCUCAGGUGCGAAAGCGUGGGGAGCAAACAGGUUUAGAUACCUUGUAGUC